UAGCAUAUCAAUAAGCGGAGGAAAAAGAAACUAACAAGGAUUCCCCUAGUAACUGCGAGUGAAGCGGGAAAAGCUCAAAUUUGAAAUCUGGCGGUCUCCGGCCGUCCGAGUUGUAGUCUGGAGAAGCGUUUUCCGCGUUGGACCGUGUACAAGUUUCCUGGAACGGAGCGUCAUAGAGGGUGAGAAUCCCGUCUUUGACACGGACCCCAAUGCUUUGUGAUGCGCUCUCAAAGAGUCGAGUUGUUUGGGAAUGCAGCUCAAAAUGGGUGGUGAAUUCCAUCUAAAGCUAAAUAUUGGCGAGAGACCGAUAGCGAACAAGUACCGUGAGGGAAAGAUGAAAAGCACUUUGGAAAGAGAGUUAAACAGUACGUGAAAUUGUUGAAAGGGAAACGCUUGAAGUCAGUCGCGUCGGCCGGGACUCAGCCUUGCAUUCGCUUGGUGUACUUUCCGGUCGACGGGCCAGCAUCAGUUUUGACCGCGAGACAAAGGCGGAGGGAAUGUGGCUCUUUCGGGAGUGUUAUAGCCCUUCGUCGCAUGUCGCGGUUGGGACUGAGGACCGCAGCACGCCUUUAUGGCCGGGGUUCGCCCACGUACGUGCUUAGGAUGCUGGCGUAAUGGCUUUAAACGACCCGUCUUGAAACACGGACCAAGGAGUCUAACAUGCCUGCGAGUGUUCGGGUGGAAAACCCGUGCGCGUAAUGAAAGUGAAAGUUGGGAUCCCUGUCGUGGGGUGCACCGACGCCCGGACCAGACCUUUUGUGACGGAUCUGCGGUAGAGCAUGUAUGUUGGGACCCGAAAGAUGGUGAACUAUGCCUGAAUAGGGUGAAGCCAGAGGAAACUCUGGUGGAGGCUCGUAGCGAUUCUGACGUGCAAAUCGAUCGUCAAAUUUGGGUAUAGGGGCGAAAGACUAAUCGAAACCAUUCUAGUAGCUGGUCUGCGA
RNAcentral lists this ribosomal RNA (941 nucleotides) under Gloeomyces thoenii. RNAcentral's name for it is "LSU rRNA". It matches the Rfam family "Eukaryotic large subunit ribosomal RNA", at positions 36 to 961 of the family's 3401-position model. Lineage: Eukaryota; Fungi; Basidiomycota; Agaricomycetes; Russulales; Stereaceae. The record is from RNAcentral.